Mobula hypostoma (lesser devil ray) is the source of this 165-nucleotide small nuclear RNA. RefSeq annotates it as U1 spliceosomal RNA. Lineage: Eukaryota; Metazoa; Chordata; Chondrichthyes; Myliobatiformes; Myliobatidae. The record is from RefSeq and is a predicted model, not a curated record. The transcript has a single exon.
AUACUUACCUGGCAGGGGAGAGACCAUGAUCAUGAAGGCGGUUCUCCCAGGAUGAAGCUAUCCCAUUGCACUUCGGGUGUGCUGAGACCUGCCAUGUUCCCAAAUGCGGGAUACCCGACUGCAACAUUUUUUAAAAAUGAAAUCUAUUACAUAUAAUUGUUCAGU